AUAGUCACUCAUGUCGUCAUGUCGUCUAGCCUACUGUGUUACAAAUUGAUUAGGCACAUACCCAACAUUAACUCUUCGGCAUAUUCACUGUCCCAACAUGAAUAUCAAGUUGAAUGGAGCCUACUCAUUUCGAUUUUACAUUUACGGCAUCUCCAAGUUUCAUUCUUAUCUUUCUAUCUAACAAAGUUGAUGAUGGAGUCUCCAGCGUUUCAUCUAUCAAGAUUUCCUUGAGCCCCAACACCUAAAUGAGCAAACCUUCUACAACAGUAAUUAAUCGCCUUUACCAUCAAAUCGAUCUAUUUUGAUUUUUCUUUUUCGUCACGCACA
This is a long non-coding RNA of Arabidopsis thaliana (thale cress), 327 nucleotides long. RefSeq annotates it as other RNA. The record is from RefSeq. Lineage: Eukaryota; Viridiplantae; Streptophyta; Magnoliopsida; Brassicales; Brassicaceae. The transcript is spliced from 2 exons.